Molecule: long non-coding RNA, 678 nt
Organism: Leucoraja erinaceus (little skate)
Lineage: Eukaryota; Metazoa; Chordata; Chondrichthyes; Rajiformes; Rajidae
Exons: 2
Source: RefSeq, a predicted model, not a curated record
AGAGCUGGAGUAACUCAGCGGGUCAGACAGCAUCUCUGUGGAGAACGUGGACAGGUACAAAGAGCUGGAGUAACUCAGCGGGUCAGUCAGGCAGCAUCUCUGUGGAGAACGUGGACAGGUACAAAGAGCUGGAGUAACUCAGCGGGUCAGACAGCAUCUCUGUGGAGAACGUGGACAGGUACAAAGAGCUGGAGUAACUCAGCGGGUCAGACAUGCAGGAUCUCUGUGGAGAACGUGGACAGAAAAAUAACAGACGCAAGAAAAGAAGAAAAAAGACGAGAUUAAGGAAAGUAGUGAUGUGUAGGCCCCGAAAGUUAACAAUUAGUAGUUUGUGGAUAGAUAGAGAGAAAGAGCCCAUAGAGAUGUGGAAGAAAAGAGAAGACCAGGAAGGAAGAGCAACAAAAAUAAAUUUAAAAAAGGGGGAAGAGAAGAAGAGAAGAAAAAACAGAACAGAAAAGAAAAGGAAUAUUAUCUACUUUAUAUCUUUCCACACCCCUCACCCAGUUCUGAAACGGUUAAUUACCAGAGUUAUGUUGCACCGUAUUAUACUUGUAAUAAAUCGAUGAAAGGAGACCAUAUCUUUAAGAAUUGUUCUGAUUUUCCUGCUAGGACGAAUCUCAUAUCUUCAAGAUGUAACAUUUUCUUGCAAUGUGACAAAUAAACCCGUAUUGUAUUGUA